Molecule: ribosomal RNA, 305 nt
Filed under: uncultured bacterium
Lineage: Bacteria
Description: bacterial SSU rRNA
Rfam family: Bacterial small subunit ribosomal RNA
Source: RNAcentral
UUCCUACGGGGCGCAGCAGUGGGGAAUAUUGGGCAAUGGGCGCAAGCCUGACCCAGCAACGCCGCGUGAAGGAAGAAGGCUCUCGGGUUGUAAACUUCUUUUAUCAGGGACGAAGCAAGUGACGGUACCUGAUGAAUAAGCCACGGCUAAUUACGUGCCAGCAGCCGCGGUAAUACGUAGGUGGCAAGCGUUAUCCGGAUUUACUGGGUGUAAAGGGCGUGUAGGCGGGAAAGCAAGUCGGAUGGGAAAACCAUGGGCUCAACCUGUGGCCUGCAUUUGAAACUGUUUUUCUUGAGUACUGGAGG